UUUUUUUUUUUUAAGAGAUUUUAUGACCUGGUAACUAAGACCUUUAAGUCAUGUCUUAUUUUACUUUAUAUUCUUAAUUUUAUGAAAAAUGAUAAUAUGGAGUGAAAUGAAAUGAAGAUGAUUAAUUUGAGACAUUAAUCAACUGGGAUGAAAUUUAAUGAAAUGAGAUGAUAUGGGAUGAAAUAUAAUCGCAGUAAAAUGGUGGUCAUUUACUGAGAUUUUUUCAGUGGACUUUUUGGAGGAACCCGAGAAGUUACGUCCAGCAGCUUUGUUUCAUUUUCCCACAUUUGUGCACUUUCACAGAUAUUAAACAUUUAAUAAACCACCGUUAUUACACAUUUAAACCUGAAGAAACACUAAAUAGACAAAAUAAAACAAAUCACACAACUUCACUGCUCGCGUUCCCGCCAAAAAGUCCCAGUAACUCUUACAAUACCAACCCUUAUCUACUACCCGCCAAAUGAGAAAAAUGAAAAAACCGUUCAUAGCUUUUGAGUUACUAUGUACCUACCUACCUACCUACAGUACCUACCAUAGAUAGUACACUAAGAAAUACCUACAUAUUCAAAAAUAUAAUAGAAUAAAGGAAUUGAAGUUAAUGGUCUCCGUCUUUAAAGAAGAAAAGUUUAUUUUCCCGAGCAGUCUAAUUAAAUUUGUAAUUUAAAAAUGGAAAAAACAACUCCAAUUGUGGCUGCAGCAGCUGGUUCAGUUAGAAAAAAGAUGGCAAAUCGUAUAGGUCGUGGAGUACCAGAAGUAACUGACGCUUAUUCUAAAAAAUGUUCAUGUAACAGAGAGAAGGCAACUGUGUUUUGUCGUUCUUGUGGUUUCUAUUGCAACGGACGUAUUCGAUUGAAAUGCCAGCAACAUCCUCGAGUGACCUUUCUGUUAGACAUUUCAGAAUGUCCAAAAUGCCAUUCAUCUGUAUUCCUGGAUGAAUAUAAAACAGGACCAUCUUAACUGCAACAAGUUUCUAUAACCAUUUCUUAUGUACUUAAUUUUUGAUAAAGACACAUCUAUAUUAUAGUUACAAUAUUUUUUGUGUAGUCCGUUCAUUUAUAUUAGUUUAGAUCAGUGGUCGGCAACCUUGUCAACCAAAAGAGCCAACUAAGUAUAGAUAACAAAUAAUUGAAAUUUAUUCAAAGCGCAAUUUUUUUAACAUAACAAUAUAUUUUUAUAGUCUUGAGCAUAAAAAAGUUUACUUGGCAAUUUGUUUACAUCUUACAAGGCAAUAUCUUAAAAAUACAUGAUACCGGCAUCUCGUUUUUACCAUCGCACCGCCCGCCACCGGAGUAGAGUUCAUCCAUACUACCUGGAGCCACUGCGGUCAUCCACAGUGCGUUUCCAGAGAUCUUUUUUGCCACGUACCAUCCGGCUAUGGAAUGAGCUCCCCUCCACGGUGUUUCCUGAGCGCUAUGACAUGUCCUUCUUCAAACGAGGCUUGUGGAGAGUAUUAAGCGGUAGGCAGCGGCUUGGCUCUGCCCCUGGCAUUGCUGAAGUCCAUGGGCGACGGUAACCACUCACCAUCAGGUGGGCCGUAUGCUCGUCUGCCUACAAGGGCAAUAAAAAAAAAAAAAAAAAAAAAAAAAAAAAUAAUUAGUAAUAUUUAGUGCUUAAACAUUUCGCACAGAACCACAUGUUAUUGACCACUGGUUUACACCAAAAACAAAUCAUUCUAACAAAGUUUUAAUUAUAGUAUAGAUAAUUAAAAUUAAUGAUGGGUAAUUUUAGUUUUGGACAUUUAAAAUUGAGUUUUAAAUGGCCAAAAUAUUAUUUAGAUCUUUAGUUCAGAGUUUAUUCUGUGAAUGUAUAUUAUAUUUAAAACAAAGUUUUUGUUAAAAAACUUUUUUGUUUUAGAUCAGUAUAGAUCAUAAUAAAUGUUCAUUGUUUGUGAAAUAAUAACUUUAACAAAAAAUAAUGAGUAAUUUUGUUAAAGUAGAACUUUAUUAUCUUUUUAAGAGCUCAUACUUUAGUUCAAGAGACUGACUCGUGGUGUAGUAGUUAGAGCCCCCGACUUGCACUGAGGAUUGUGGAUUCUGUUUCCACAUUGUGCAACCAUUCUUGUGAUGAACAGGUUUGUUUGCUUUCUCUAGUUGUUUAUGAUCUAUAAACAUAGGGAAUCUUAAAUUGGAGCCAGAUGAUUGUUCCCAGUUAUUUAGUUAUUAUUAUUGUUAUUCUGUAUUUCUAGGGUGAUUAUGAAAAUCUGUUUCAAUAAAAAUUUAAGAGCAAUUA
Molecule: RNA transcript, 2229 nt
Organism: Bombyx mori (domestic silkworm)
Lineage: Eukaryota; Metazoa; Arthropoda; Insecta; Lepidoptera; Bombycidae
Exons: 2
Source: RefSeq, a predicted model, not a curated record